This 254-nucleotide ribosomal RNA is filed under the name uncultured bacterium. RNAcentral's name for it is "partial 16S ribosomal RNA". It matches the Rfam family "Bacterial small subunit ribosomal RNA", at positions 524 to 776 of the family's 1533-position model. The record is from RNAcentral.
UACGUAGGGACCAAGCGUUGUUCGGAUUUACUGGGCGUAAAGGGCGCGUAGGCGGCGUGUUAAGUCAGCUGUGAAAUCUCCGAGCUUAACUCGGAACGGUCAGCUGAUACUGAUGUGCUAGAGUGCAGAAGGGGCAAUCGGAAUUCUUGGUGUAGCGGUGAAAUGCGUAGAUAUCAAGAGGAACACCUGAGGUGAAGACGGGUUGCUGGGCUGACACUGACGCUGAUGCGCGAAAGCCCAGGGGAGCAAACGGG